CGCCCAGCUCGGGCGAGGGAGGAGCUUGCGCCACCAUUGGAAAAUCUCGGAGGACGAGGAGGCGUUGCGCAGGGAGCCCAUCUGGGGAAGCUGGAAAAUGAGAGACUUCGAUCACUUGGUGGCUGCGGUCUGUUUCACUCUGACAUUCAACAAUAUUGUUGCUCUGUGGCCUGUAAAGGGCUGAACUCCUGGGAAGUGUUGGUGUGGCUACCUGUUCCUUGAGCCCCUACUCCAUCUGGUUCUGCUGUCUUCACCGUGAGACCUAUUAGUGGCCAGAAAAGCAAAUCAUGCACAAUACAGAAUCAGGCCACCCAAGUCUCAGUGACCACCAACACAUGCACGUAUACUGCCACCCACCAGGGCCCGGCUCCUAGGAGCCUGCUACUUCCACCCAUGUUCAAUUGUUCUCCACGUAGAGAUAGGCAGGGGCACCUGGCUUAACUCUGAAGCUCCGUGGUACAUAAGUAAAGGCUCUCUGUCUCUCCCCUUCCUUCUCUAGGGCAAUUGUGGGUGGGUGUGAAUCUCUCUUAUGUGGAUCCUUCUGUGCCUGAUGUAAAAUGCAGGAGGAUGGAAUGAGCUGUGUUGUCAAGAGGGCAGAUUCAGAGAACCACUUCCCUCCGGGCACACUUGGAUUGGCUUCCUGAAUUUCACCUGUUCAUGUGCCAUUCUCAUGAGUUACCUUACAUCCAUCUACAGUCUGCUCCAUUAUGCACUUAGUAAAUUUUACCUUAGAUUUUUACUUGGCUUCAUCGUAAGCAAUAAUAUCUAUGAAAUUAUUGGUUUGUGAGAUACCAGUUGUAUUUAAUAUUUUAAUGCACAAUGAAAUGAAGGCAUAAGUCUUCCAUGCUAAAAUCAUUCUGAAUAUCACUGGUUGUUCUCACAACUCACUUUUUGAAACACUAAGGUGUAU
Molecule: long non-coding RNA, 910 nt
Filed under: Homo sapiens (human)
Lineage: Eukaryota; Metazoa; Chordata; Mammalia; Primates; Hominidae
Description: HSALNT0200079
Source: RNAcentral